This 68-nucleotide transfer RNA is filed under the name Marmota monax (woodchuck). RNAcentral describes it as "tRNA.Ala". Lineage: Eukaryota; Metazoa; Chordata; Mammalia; Rodentia; Sciuridae. The record is from RNAcentral.
GGAUUGUGGCUCAGUGGCAGAGCACUCCCCUAGCAUGCAAGAGGCCCUGAGUUUAAUCCUCAGCACCA